This 492-nucleotide ribosomal RNA is filed under the name uncultured bacterium. RNAcentral's name for it is "partial 16S ribosomal RNA". It matches the Rfam family "Bacterial small subunit ribosomal RNA", at positions 30 to 507 of the family's 1533-position model. The record is from RNAcentral.
AUUGAACGCUGGCGGCAUGCUUUACACAUGCAAGUCGAGCGGUAACAGGCCUUCGGGUGCUGACGAGUGGCGAACGGGUGAGUAAUGCAUCGGAACGUACCCAGAGGUGGGGGAUAACGCAGCGAAAGCUGUGCUAAUACCUCAUGUGAUCUGAGGAUGAAAGCGGGGGACCGAGCAGCAAUGUUUGGCCUCGCGCCUUUGGAGCGGCCGAUGUCGGAUUAGCUAGUUGGUGGGGUAAAGGCCUACCAAGGCGACGAUCCGUAGCUGGUCUGAGAGGACGACCAGCCACACUGGAACUGAGACACGGCCCAGACUCCUACGGGAGGCAGCAGUGGGGAAUUUUGGACAUAGGGCGCAAGCCUGAUCCAGCAAUGCCGCGUGCGGGAAGAAGGCCUUCGGGUUGUAAACCGCUUUUGGCAGGAACGAAACGGUGUCCGCUAAUACCGGGCGCUAAUGACGGUACCUGCAGAAUAAGCACCGGCUAACUACGUG